This 72-nucleotide transfer RNA is filed under the name Plutella xylostella (diamondback moth). Its description in RNAcentral is "tRNA-Ser". Lineage: Eukaryota; Metazoa; Arthropoda; Insecta; Lepidoptera; Plutellidae. The record is from RNAcentral.
GACCGAAUGGCGUAGUGGUUAGCGACCCUGACUCUGAGCCGAUGGUCCCGGGUUCGAUUCCCGGCUGGGGCA